GAAGAAACCAAGCUUAGCAAUAAGCAGCACAUUAAAACGUGAAUGAUAAUAACUCGUGUGAGUGUCGGGUAAAACCGAUAUUCACCGUAGCGAAUCGUAGUGGUUGUAAAAAACCGACGAUGAUUGAAUUCAAAUUUCUGCUCUAUCAACUUUUUCGCAGUGUAGCGGACUGCGAAGGUUAUGACGGAUACGGGGAGUUAGGGCUCGACUCCGGAGAGGGAGCCUUAGAAACGGCUACCACUUCUAAGGAAGGCAGCAGGCGCGCAAUUUACCCAAUUAGCAUAUUCACUAAAUAAGCUAGAGGUAGUGACGACAAAUAGGAAUAGAAAGUGGUUUAAACUAUUUUCUAAUUCAAAUGAGUACAAUGUAAAUACCUUAACAAGGAUCAAUUGGAGGGCAAGUCUGGUGCCAGCAGCCGCGGUAAUUCCAGCUCCAAUAGCGUAUAUUAUAGUUGUU
This 456-nucleotide ribosomal RNA is filed under the name uncultured eukaryote. RNAcentral's name for it is "bacterial SSU rRNA". It matches the Rfam family "Eukaryotic small subunit ribosomal RNA", at positions 173 to 614 of the family's 1831-position model. The record is from RNAcentral.